UUUUUUGAAGGAUUAUUAUCUUAUUAUGAUCAAAGUAAACAGGCUGUAAAUUAGUUUUCUUUUGGAAUGAGACAGCAUAGUAACUGAGUUCAAACAACCGUUCUUAAAAAAAUUUAUCAUUUGAAUGCCGGCUUGCUUAGCUUUUAUGUGGUUGCAGUUUCAGACUGUGUUAGGUCUCUCCAUAAUUCUACCGCUCCUGAUGGCAACUUUGCCACUAACUGAAAUUUAUUGCACACAGCUCCUUCCUAUUUUUUGUCAUUCUGCAGAAAAUUAGUGAACUUUUUCUUGACAUUAGCUACCGAGAGUGACAUAAUGGUGCCAAGAUGGGAGGUAUUGAACUGUGAACUUUACAAAUGUAUGUUGUUCGUUACUUGUGCAUAAUUCAGAAAAAUCAAAAGGAUGUUGCUUGUUUUAGCU
RNAcentral lists this long non-coding RNA (417 nucleotides) under Citrus sinensis (sweet orange). Its description in RNAcentral is "long non-coding RNA (CSIN_LNC002852)". The record is from RNAcentral. Lineage: Eukaryota; Viridiplantae; Streptophyta; Magnoliopsida; Sapindales; Rutaceae.